RNAcentral lists this transfer RNA (72 nucleotides) under Sphaerodactylus townsendi. RNAcentral describes it as "tRNA-Thr". It matches the Rfam family "tRNA". From Rfam's summary of the family: Transfer RNA (tRNA) molecules are approximately 80 nucleotides in length. The record is from RNAcentral. Lineage: Eukaryota; Metazoa; Chordata; Lepidosauria; Squamata; Sphaerodactylidae.
GGAGAUGUGGCUCAGUGGAAGAGAACCUGUUUUGUACGCAGAAGGUCCCAGAUUCGGUCCCCAGCAUCUUCA